Non-coding RNA from Filobasidium floriforme, 88 nucleotides. NCBI's taxonomy places the organism in Eukaryota, Fungi, Basidiomycota, Tremellomycetes, Filobasidiales, Filobasidiaceae. The record is from the annotation of a RefSeq genome assembly.
CUUUGAGUCGUCCAAUGGUUAAGACACCAGAUUCUGAGUCUUCCGAAAGGGCCUUCUGGGGACCUGGGUUCGAUUCCCAGCUCGAAGU